RNAcentral lists this ribosomal RNA (483 nucleotides) under uncultured bacterium. RNAcentral's name for it is "partial 16S ribosomal RNA". It matches the Rfam family "Bacterial small subunit ribosomal RNA", at positions 30 to 507 of the family's 1533-position model. The record is from RNAcentral.
UUGAACGCUGGCGGCAGGCCUCACACAUGCCAGUCGAGCGGAUGAAGGGAGCUUGCUCCUGGAUUCAGCGGCGGACGGGUGAGUAAUGCCUAGGAAUCUGCCUGGUAGUGGGGGAUAACGUCCGGAAACGGGCGCUAAUACCGCAUACGUCCUGAGGGAGGAAGUGGGGGAUCUUCGGACCUCACGCUAUCAGAUGAGCCUAGGUCGGAUUAGCUAGUUGGUGGGGUAAAGGCCUACCAAGGCGACGAUCCGUAACUGGUCUGAGAGGAUGAUCAGUCACACUGGAACUGAGACACGGUCCAGACUCCUACGGGAGGCAGCAGUGGGGAAUAUUGGACAAUGGGCGAAAGCCUGAUCCAGCCAUGCCGCGUGUGUGAAGAAGGUCUUCGGAUUGUAAAGCACUUUAAGUUGGGAGGAAGGGCAGUAAGUUAAUACCUUGCUGUUUUGACGUUACCAACAGAAUAAGCACCGGCUAACUUCGUG